GUGCCAGCAGCCGCGGUAAUACGGAGGGUGCAAGCGUUAUCCGGAUUCACUGGGUUUAAAGGGUGCGUAGGUGGGCUAGUAAGUCCGUGGUGAAAUCUCUGAGCUUAACUCGGAAACUGCCGUGGAUACUAUUAGUCUUGAAUCUCGUGGAGGUAAGCGGAAUAUGUCAUGUAGCGGUGAAAUGCUUAGAUAUGACAUAGAACACCGAUAGCGAAGGCAGCUUGCUACACGAGUAUUGACACUGAGGCACGAAAGCGUGGGGAUCAAACAGGAUUAGAUACCCCAGUAGUCC
Molecule: ribosomal RNA, 292 nt
Filed under: uncultured bacterium
Lineage: Bacteria
Description: partial 16S ribosomal RNA
Rfam family: Bacterial small subunit ribosomal RNA
Source: RNAcentral